AUGUGAUCGUCUCUCGCAUAUCAAUAAGCGGAGGAAAAGAAACUAACAAGGAUUCCCCUAGUAACGGCGAGUGAAGCGGGAAGAGCUCAAAUUUGAAAUCUUAAAGGGUUUCCCUUUACGAAUUGUAGUUUAAAGGAGUGUUUUCUGUUGAGGUUUUGGUAAAAGUUCUUUGGAAUAGGACAUCAUAGAGGGUGAGAAUCCCGUAUUUGACCUUUACUUUCAACUUUGUGAUACACUUUCAAAGAGUCGGAUUGUUUGGGAAUGCAGUCCAAAAUGGGUGGUAAAUUUCAUCUAAAGCUAAAUAUUGGCGAGAGACCGAUAGCGAACAAGUACCGUGAGGGAAAGAUGAAAAGAACUUUGAAAAGAGAGUUAAACAGUACGUGAAAUUGUCAAAAGGGAAGCGUUUGACACCAGUGUUGUUUUCUGAAAAUCAAUUAAAGAACUGUUUAUGCUAAGCUGUUUAGACUUUAUCAGCUAUCUGUUUAGUUUUGAGCUUUUCUUUAAUGCACUUUUCAGUUAACAAGUCAACAUCAAUUUCUUUUGCUGUAAAAAAGCUUGAGGAAGGUGGCUUGAGAUUCGUCUUAAGUGUUAUAGCCUCUUGCCUAUGCAGUCGGAGAGAUUGAGGUCUGCAGCGUAGAUCCUUCGGGGCUAAAUGCAUUUGUGCUAAGUUAUAGCAUUUUAUAGACAACUUGUUGACUAUGAUUUGUCUUGUAGCUUACUCGCUUAUGUUAUUUUACCUACGCUUAGGAUGUUGAGCGCAUGUCUCUCUCU
RNAcentral lists this ribosomal RNA (771 nucleotides) under uncultured Neocallimastigales. RNAcentral's name for it is "partial large subunit ribosomal RNA". It matches the Rfam family "Eukaryotic large subunit ribosomal RNA", at positions 24 to 616 of the family's 3401-position model. The record is from RNAcentral. Lineage: Eukaryota; Fungi; Neocallimastigomycota; Neocallimastigomycetes; Neocallimastigales.